GACGUAGGGAGCAAGCGUUGUCCGGAAUCAUUGGGCGUAAAGCGCGCGUAGGUGGCUUCAUAAGUCCGUUGUGAAAGUCAAAGGCUCAACCUUUGAAAGCCGAUGGAUACUGUGAAGCUAGAGUACGGAAGAGGCGAGUGGAAUUCCUGGUGUAGCGGUGGAAUGCGCAGAUAUCAGGAGGAACACCAAUAGCGAAGGCAGCUCGCUGGGACGUUACUGACACUGAGGCGCGAAAGCGUGGGGAGCGAACAGG
RNAcentral lists this ribosomal RNA (253 nucleotides) under uncultured bacterium. RNAcentral's name for it is "partial 16S ribosomal RNA". It matches the Rfam family "Bacterial small subunit ribosomal RNA", at positions 524 to 776 of the family's 1533-position model. The record is from RNAcentral.